RNAcentral lists this ribosomal RNA (1921 nucleotides) under wastewater metagenome. RNAcentral describes it as "bacterial LSU rRNA". It matches the Rfam family "Bacterial large subunit ribosomal RNA", at positions 3 to 1980 of the family's 2925-position model. The record is from RNAcentral.
UCAAGUGAAUAAGUGCAUAUCGUGGAUGCCUUGGCGAUUACAGGCGAUGAAGGACGUUGUAGACUGCGAAAAGCUUCGGGGAGCCGUCAAACAGGCUUUGAUCCGAAGAUGUCCGAAUGGGGAAACCCACCCGCAAGGGUAUCUCACGCUGAAUACAUAGGCGUGCAGAAGCGAACCUGGUGAACUGAAACAUCUAAGUAGCCAGAGGAAAAGAAAUCAACCGAGAUUCCGAAAGUAGUGGCGAGCGAAAUCGGAACAGCCGUCGAGUUUUAGCAGCUUUGUUAUCAGAACAGUCUGGAAAGGCUGGCCAUAGUGGGUGAUAGCCCCGUAUGAAAAAACAUUGUUGUGGAACUAGGCUCGACACAAGUAGGGCGGGACACGUGAAAUCCUGUCUGAAGAUGGGGGGACCAUCCUCCAAGGCUAAAUACUCGUAAUCGACCGAUAGUGAACCAGUACCGUGAGGGAAAGGCGAAAAGAACCCCGGGAGGGGAGUGAAAUAGAUCCUGAAACGAUAUGCAUACAAACAGUCGGAGCCCGCAAGGGUGACGGCGUACCUUUUGUAUAAUGGGUCAGCGACUUACGUUCAGUAGCAAGGUUAACCAAUAGGGAAGCCGCAGGGAAACCGAGUCCGAAUAGGGCGACUAGUUGCUGGGCGUAGACCCGAAACCGGAUGAUCUACCCAUGGCCAGGAUGAAGGUGCGGUAUCACGCACUGGAGGUCCGAACCCACUAGUGUUGCAAAACUAGGGGAUGAGCUGUGGAUAGGGGUGAAAGGCUAAACAAAUCCGGAAAUAGCUGGUUCUCUCCGAAAACUAUUUAGGUAGUGCCUCGUGUAUUGCUCCGGGGGGUAGAGCACUGUUAUGGUAGUGGGGGUCAUUGCGACUUACUGCGCCAUUGCAAACUCCGAAUACCCGGAAGUAUGAGCACGGGAGACAGAGCACUGGGUGCUAACGUCCAGACUCAAGAGGGAAACAACCCAGACCGCCAGCUAAGGUCCCCAAUAUUGACUAAGUGGGAAACGAAGUGGGAAGGCAUAGACAGUCAGGAGGUUGGCUUAGAAGCAGCCAUCCUUUAAAGAAAGCGUAAUAGCUCACUGAUCGAGUCGUCCUGCGCGGAAGAUGUAACGGGGCUAAGUCAAUAACCGAAGCUGCGGAUCUCGUAAGAGAUGGUAGGAGAGCGUUCUGUACGCCUGUGAAGGUGACUCGUAAGGGUUGCUGGAGGUAUCAGAAGUGCGAAUGCUGACAUGAGUAGCGUUAAAAGCAGUGAAAAACUGCUUCGCCGAAAGCGCAAGGUUUCCUACGCAACGUUAAUCGACGUAGGGUGAGUCGGCUCCUAAGGCGAGGGCGAAAGCCGUAGUCGAUGGGAAACAGGUUAAUAUUCCUGUACCGCUGUUCAAUGCGAUGGGGGGACGAAGAAGGUUAACUCAGCCAGGUGUUGGAUGUCCUGGUUUAAGCGUGUAGUCGUGCCUGGUAGGCAAAUCCGCCGGGCUUAGAUGAGGCGUGAUGACGAGCGGGCUUGCCCGCGAAGUGAGUGAUACCCAGCUUCCAAGAAAAGCCUCUAAGCUUCAGUUGAACGGGACCGUACCGCAAACCGACACUGGUGCGCGUGCUGAAUAUGCUCAGGCGCUUGAGAGAACUCAGGAGAAGGAACUCGGCAAAUUGAUACCGUAACUUCGGGAGAAGGUAUGCCCCUAGUAGGUGAAGGAGUACAUCCGGAGCCAAAUGGGGUCUCAGAGAAUCGGUGGCUGCGACUGUUUACCAAAAACACAGCACUCUGCUAACACGUAAGUGGACGUAUAGGGUGUGACGCCUGCCCGGUGCCGGAAGGUUAAGUGAUGGGGUGCAAGCUCUUGAUCGAAGCCCCGGUAAACGGCGGCCGUAACUAUAACGGUCCUAAGGUAGCGAAAUUCCUUGUCGGGUAAG